Molecule: long non-coding RNA, 10005 nt
Filed under: Hordeum vulgare
Lineage: Eukaryota; Viridiplantae; Streptophyta; Magnoliopsida; Poales; Poaceae
Description: long non-coding RNA (HVUL_LNC017741)
Source: RNAcentral
CCGCAACCAACAGCCAACAGAGCUCGCCUCCUCACCUCGCCGGAGCGCCAAGAAACCCCUCCCCCCACCUCUCGCCACCGCGCAGAAGCGCCUCUGAUCCCCAGCGCCGGCGACCGAUGAACAGGUUCCACGACAGGCAGCACGUGUGGGUGCGGAGCAGCGUGCACGGCACGUACCUCAACGCCGACAGCGACGGGAGGAGCGUCUCCCUCCGCCGGCGCCGCGCGUCGCUCAAGGCGGCGUGGGCGGUGCACAUCUACCAGCACGGCGAGGGCGACGUGCCGUACCUUCUCCUCUACAGCGCCGCCUACGGCCGCUACCUCGCCGCCACGGCCACGCGGGCGCCGCUCGGCCACGUCGGCUUCCGCGCCGAGCAGCGCGACUACGACGAGCCGGUGCUGCCGGCCAUCAUGUGGCGGGCCACCCACACGGGCUUCGGGGGCGGCGUCUUCCUCCGCAACGUCGGCGGCCGCUACCUCCGCGCCAACGGCAAGUACCUCCGCUGGAACAACGGCGUCACCGUCGACGACAUGGACAAAGUCAGCACCAUGAUGUACUGGACCGUCGAUCCCAUCCCCCUCAGAGGAUCGGACAUGCCUCAGCCUGGCUUCGCUGCCCCGAUUCCGGUGAGUUCGCCAUGCAUGACCCGAGUCUUCAAUUCUUCAUACCUCUUGAAUUGCUCUCGACGGAUUGAACGAAUUGGGUCAUCGAUCGGGUUAUUUACAACGAGAUUAUCACUUGUGUUAAUUUCAUUCACCGGACAGGCAUUUCUGAUUCUCUUCUUGCCAAAUUUACGAUUCCUGAAUCAAUCGCGUUUUUGUUUUCAGCCAGAAAAUUCAGAGUAUCACCUGAACAUAAAUAACCAUGGUUUCUUGUGGCUCGACUGCAGGGCCGCAUCCCCCGAGAGCUCUCCGUCAUGCUGGGACGCGAGCGAGGGGUGUGGAGGCUGAUCCGGUUCGUGCGAGCGACCGCCGAGGGGGCCUACGCCCAUAACGGCAACGGCUGGUCCGAGUUCCAUUUCAGGGGAAGGUACGUGUACCACCUGAGGAACGAGCUGGUCAAGCGCAUCAACGCCGAGGUGCACUUGUUCGAGCUCGCCAUGUGCAUCCGAGCGGGCCGCUACGGGCGUUUGACCCCGCUCAUCACCAACCUGCCCCACGGCGGCAGCGGCGAGACCCUCCAGAUUGUCGUCUACCUGUCCGAGACCCCUGGUGAGAGCCACUCUCCAUCUCCCAACUUCCUAUUCAUCUCGUGUUUUUGUUAGGUUAUAUGGUGGCAACAAAUGAAUUUGUCUGUGUACUGCCAUGAUAAUUUGGAGUUUGUUUAGUGGGUGCUUAUAAAACAGUUUACUGAAACAGUUUACUCCCCAUGUCCUAAUGAUUUCCUAAUGGUGCCAACAAGUGAAGCAGUUUACUGAAUUUGUUUUAGUCUGCUUGUGUUUCAAAAACAGUUUACUGAAAGUGUUAUGAUCUGAGAAAACGGUUUAUUGAACUUUUAGGAGUUUGAAAUUGUCUGCAGCUAUGGGCUGUGGCUAGUUGGUUAUAAUUAGGGGGGGAAAUCAUUUCGUAAUUAACAUAUUACAUUCAACCUUGAUAUGGAAAGUGUCCUCUAUUUGGCGCCGGUUGCCGCCAGUAAAAACUAUGGAACUGAAAUAGACGGAUCUUUUAAUUAAUCUCUUUCAGCCUUCCAUAGAGAAGAUUGUAAUAUCAGUUUGAUUUGAUUUAGCAUGUUGUAUUCAAUAACCCUUCAACAAAAUUCAGGCUUCUACAAUCUAAAUUAAUUAUGGUUUCUGCACAUGAGUUGUAUUGUUUUCAGGUUUCAUUCAUGAGCUGUAUUAUUGGUCUUGUUAUUCAUUUUUGUUUUGCAAAAUGUAGCAGUGGUCUUGAAUCUGUUCUACAAGUGUACAUAUGUUGGGUUAGAUACUGUUUACUGCAUGAACAUUUUAUUUAGAGUCUUAGUUAAUGAUGUGCUAAUCUGAUCAUGCUGGGAAAAACGAUAUUAUGAUAUGUUUUGUUAGGACUUGGGACUUUUCUAAAACUGUUGUACUGUUGUAGAAAAGUACAAGUAGUUGAAUGGGAACAGUAGGUGCCAAUGCCAUGUGGAUUUAUCUGUCUCUGGUUGAAAAACAGUUUACUGAAAGUAUUAUAAUCUGAGAAAAUAGUUUACUGAACUUUUAGGAGUUUGGAAUUGUCUGUGGCUAUGGUCUGUGGCUAGUUGGUUAUAAUUGGGGGAACGAAUUAUUUCAUAAUUAACUUUUACAUUCAACCUUGAUAUGGGAAGUGUUGGUUUCAAACUACUGUCCUUGAUCUCCUUUAUUUGCAACUGUUCGCCAUUCGCAAAAAAAACUGUUUGCCACCCGUAAAAACCAUGGAACUGAAAUAGAUGGAUCUUUUAAUUAAUCUCUUUCAGCCAUACACAAAGAUUGUCAUAUCCGUUUGAUUUUAUUUAGCCUGUUUACUUGUGUUGAAUAACCUGUGAACCAAAUUCAGGCUCCUACCAUCUAAAUUAAUUCUGGUUUCUGCACAUGAGUUGUAUUAUUGAUCUUUUUAUUCAUUUUUAUUUUGGAAAAUUUAUCGGUGGUUUUGAAUAUGUUCUACACAGUGGACAUGUGUUGGAUAGAUACUGUUUAGUGCAUUAACAUUUUACUUAAGAGUCUUAGUUAGUGAGGUGCAUAUCUGAUCAUGCUUGGAAAAAUGAUAUUAUGAUAAGUUUUGUUAGGCCUUGCGACUUUUCUGAAGCUGUUGUACUGUUGUAGAAAAGUAAAUGCAGUUGGAUAGGAACAGUAAGUGCCAAUGCCAUAUGGAUUUAUCAGUCGGUGUACACACAUUUAUCAGUCAGUGUAAAUAAUGGUCUGAACUCUGAAGCUAGUAAAAACUACUGGCUCCACAUUUCUUUUCUUGAUUCAGAUAAUUCAGUUCAUCCAUUUCGUACCAUGUUGCCGCUAGUAGAAAUUAUGGAGCCUAAAUAACCAACUCAAGUUCUGUCAACUCAUUUCAUCUUCGCAGAAGAUACUAGGUUUCUAACCUGUGAACCAAAUUGAGGUGGUAUCCUAAAAUAGAUAGUGCAUAAAAGCUUAGCGCCCAGCACAUUAUAUUGGUUUAGGUUUUGUCUUCUUGAUCUUUUCAUAAUGUUCUUAUUGAUUAUCGGUCUGCUGCCUAAUUGCCUCAUUAUUUCUGUUAAUUCAGCCUAUGAUGAGCUAGAGCACCCGGAUGUCUACUCGGAGUAGAGAAAGAUCAGAGCAGGAGUCCUGAUAGUUAACCUCCACAGAAGUUUGGCCACCUCGGACACAGCUGAGUGACAGCAGAACUGGACGCCUACUUUUGCAUAUAGAUAUAGGUUGAGAAAACUGUGUUUCCUAUGCUAGCUAAACUUGCUCUGUUCUGCCUGUUUUGGCCUCGCAGUUAUAUGAUUCAGAACUUCUGAAAGUGUUGCGUGCAGUGGUUGUAGUAGUCGUUCGAAUGUCGCUCUUCUACCAUUCGUUCCUAUGGUGCUUCCUGGAUGAAGCAUUUAAAUGUAAGGGUACUUGCAGUGAGUUGAUGAUCUUCCAUUCCUUUUGGAUGAUGCGUGCACUUCGUAUAAAUGAAUAAUGCAGUGGUUCUUGCUAGUAAUGAGUUGAUGAUCUUGUGUUUCUGUAAGGCUAUGCACUUGGUACAAAUGCAAAAUUUAGCUGGUUCUUGCUGUGAGCUGGUGAUCGUGCUUCUAGUUGUGCUGUUUUGAGUGUUGGCCAAGGAGUAAGAAACACAGUUGUAACGUAUGAACAAAAUUCAGAUUUUAUCCAACGGCACUAUGAAGUAGCUUCUGCACAUUACAAUGUUUUCAAGAUUUGAACAUAAGCUGCCUUCUUUUCCUUUCACAGUCUUGUUUGAGAUCAACACUGAUUUGGUGGCUCUUGCCAGUAAUGAGUUGAUGAUCUUCAGUUUAGCUGUGCGGCUUCAAGUUAAGUCCAAGUUAAGUCCAACGAAGAUCAAUAAUACACUGUUGGAAAAUUCACUGUUGUAAUUGCAUUGCUGAGUCAGCAGUGAAAAAAAAUGUUACUAUUGCUGACUCAUAUCGAUCAGAACUAACAACAUUCCGCAUAACAACUACUUCUGAAAGAAAUUGCAGGCAUUUUAGUUCUUGCUCAUUACUUCUGGAAAAAGAAAUGUUGUUAUUGCCGACUCAUUAAGUGUAAAAUUUUGAAAGCUCGAAAGAGUCUCUGAGAUCCCGUUAAUAACACCAUAUGAGAUUGUUAUUUAUGCGCAUUUUUCUGCUCUAGUUUCUGAAAUUUGGACAUGCUGGUGUACUGGUCUCCUGAAGUUUCUUGAAUAUUGCUCUUGUGCCCUGGUGUAUUAUUAGGUGUUUCUGCUCUAGUUUCUGAAAUUNNNNNNNNNNNNNNNNNNNNNNNNNNNNNNNNNNNNNNNNNNNNNNNNNNNNNNNNNNNNNNNNNNNNNNNNNNNNNNNNNNNNNNNNNNNNNNNNNNNNNNNNNNNNNNNNNNNNNNNNNNNNNNNNNNNNCUCUAGUUUCUGAAAUUAAGGACAUGAUGCAGCGAACUCUCCUUGUUAUAUUUCUGUGAAUCUAUUUUCUGAAUUCGUAAUGUGGUUAAUAUGUGGUUAGUUUUAUCCUUGCAACGCACACGCACUGACAUACACAAGCACAAGAUGAUGAUGAUCAAUAUGUGCUUAGUUUUCUUUACAAGAGUUGUUAUGACCGGUACAACGUACCAACGGAGGAGGCCCAAUGGACAGGGUUAAUUACGGGCUUAGCCCAAGUCAUCUUACCUAUCUUAGAGUCCAAGUUAUAUUAGAGUCUAAGUUAUAUUAGAGUCCAAGUUAGAGUCCAAGUUAUCUAGGGUUUAGUGGAGGUUCUCCUCCUAUAUAAACACAUGUACCCCUUCGAUAUUAAGAAGACAAUAAACAGUAUUUUGUUGUCGUCUCCCUCAGGAGACGGGAGCCCCAAACCCUAGCCGCAUCUCUCUCUCUCGCGCGCGCCGCGACGGCGCCCAACCGCCGGCGUCGGCGUCCCCAACCUCGCAGCCCGCACUUCCACCCCUACAACCUACGUCCGAGACCUGGUAAAACCCUAGCCUCUACCAAUUUGGUAUCAGGUAGCUUGGGUUCGAUGAGCUUGUCGGNNNNNNNNNNNNNNNNNNNNNNNNNNNNNNNNNNNNNNNNNNNNNNNNNNNNNNNNNNNNNNNNNNNNNNNNNNNNNNNNNNNNNNNNNNNNNNNNNNNNNNNNNNNNNNNNNNNNNNNNNNNNNNNNNNNNNNNNNNNNNNNNNNNNCCAUCGCCGCCGCCACCACCGCCUUCCCCGCCACCUCGCAGCAGCCGCCGCCGCCGCACCACCCGCCGCCGCAGGCCACCUCAGGUCUGGCCGCUUCCAGUACCGCGGCCCUGGCGGCCGAACCCGCCCCCGUCCUCUCCCUAGCGGAGAUGUCCUCGGCGAUCCGCGACCUCAACCUGGCGGUCUCGAACCUCCGGACUUUCCUCCAGGCUCCGUACGCAACCCCGCCACCACCGCCUCCGCCGACGGCGCCCUUCACGCCACCGCCCCGGCCACUGUCGCGCCCGAGGGCCUGCCGAUCACCCAGGUCCGGUGGCCGCCGUCGCCGUCCCCGCUACCGACGUGGAUCGACAUGCCGACCUNNNNNNNNNNNNNNNNNNNNNNNNNNNNNNNNNNNNNNNNNNNNNNNNNNNNNNNNNNNNNNNNNNNNNNNNNNNNNNNNNNNNNNNNNNNNNNNNNNNNNNNNNNNNNNNNNNNNNNNNNNNNNNNNNNNNNNCGGCGCCGCUACAGCCGACGGUGUUGCAGCCACCCGCCCCCACCUUCGGGGGUUCGGCGGGUACACUGACCCGUACGCCGGGGGCUCCGUGGUGCCGCAGCACUCUCCUUCCGCCGCGCUGGGUCGUCACGAGGGCACCUACGCGGCCUCGCCACAUGUGCAGCAGCCGCCCCGCUUCACCAAGCUGGAGUUCGCCACCUACGACGGCACCGUCGACCCCUUGAACUGGCUCAAUCAGUGCGACCACUUUUUCAGGGGGGCAGCGGACCAUGGCGUCCAACCGCACGUGGAUCGCCUCCUACCACCUCCAUGGCGCCGCCCAGACGUGGUACUACGCCCUCGAGCAGGACGAGGGCGGGAUGCCCCCGUGGGAGCGCUUUCGCGACCUGUGUCUCCUCCGGUUCGGCCCCCCAUACGUGGGAGCCGCUUGGCCGAGUUCGGUCGCCUUCCCUUCACCACCUCGGUGCAGGACUUCGCCGACCGCUUCCAGACGUUGGCCUGCCAUGCGCCUGACGUCACGGCUCGCCAACGCGCAGAGCUCUUCGUCGGCGGCCUUCCCAACCACAUCCGCAUCAACGUCAUCUCGACGCGACCCCCAGGACCUGCAGACGGCCAUGUAUUACGCACACGCGUACGAGCAGCGCGCCAACGCCCUGCAGCAGGCGUUCCCGGGCCGUGGCAGGCGUUCCCCGGUCGCGGCACGCGUCCCCCGACCCGCCCUGCCCCGGUGGCCGCCACCCCGACCCGCCCCGCCCUGCCGGCCGCUACUGCGGCUGCCCCCGCGCCGACACGCACCUUCCGGCGCUUGACGUCGGCCGAGCAGCUCGAGCGGCGCCGCAAGGACCUGUGCUUCAACUACGACGAGCCGUAUGCGCUGGGUCAUACGUGCGCCCGCCUGUUCUACUUGGAGACCGUCGACGACGCGGUGGUGGAGGCCCUCACCGCGGAGCUCAACGCCACCACACUCUCCGAGACCGGCGUCACGACCUAUGGGCCGGUCGACGCGACCGCCUUCGUCGUCUCCCUUCAUGCCAUGGCUGGCAUCAAGACGGCAAAGACGAUGCUGCUUCCGGUGAUGAUCAACGGGGAGCAUCUCACCGCGCUCGUGGACACGGCUUCGACGCACAACUUCUUGUCCGGGGACGCCAUGCACAACUUCUUGUCCGGGGACGCCAUGCACCGCCUCGCACUCCAACCGGCAGGCUCGGAGAAGUUCAGCGUCACCGUCGUCAACGGGGACCGCCUUGCUUGCCAGGGGGUGGCGCGGCAGGUUCCCGUCCUCAUCGGCGACGAGCCGUUCUCCAUCGACUGCAUCGGCAUCAACCUGGGCUGCUACGAUUUCAUCCUUGGCAUCGACUUCCUGUCCACUCUCGGCGCAUCCUUUGGGACCUCGAUGUGUUGUCCCUCAUCUUCUGGCGCGAGGGCGGCCGUCGCGUUCAGUGGACAGGCAUCCGCGGUUUUCAAAAUUGUUCUCGGUUUUAAAUUUGUUCUCAAGAUUCAAAAAAUAUUCGUGUUCCAAAAAAUUGUUUUGGGUUUUAAAAAUUGUUCUCUAUUUCAGAAUUUUGUUCAGAAGAUUCAAAAAAUGUGUAUGCUUUAAAAAAUAGUUCAUGCUUCCAAAUUUGUUCAGAAUUUUUCAAAUAAAAUCUCCGUUUCAAAAUUUGUUCUCAAAAUUCAAAAAAUUUCGUGCUUUAAAAAUUUGUUUGCGCUUCAAAAUUAGUUCAGGAUUUUUCAAAAUUAUUAUAGAUUUCAAAAUUUUGUUCUCAAUAUUGAAAAAAUGUUCGUGCUUUUAAAAAGUGUUCGCGCUUCCAAAUUUGUUAAUGAUAUUUCAAAAAUGUUCUCGGUUUCAAAAAUUGUUCUCAAAAUUUAGAAGAUGAUUGUGCUUUAAAAUUUUGUUCGCACUUUCAAAUUUUUUCGUGUUUUUUUAUAAUCCUUUUAAAAAAAAUCUCAAGAUUCAACAAAUGUUCAUACUUUUAAAAAUUGUUCGUGCUUCCAAAUUUGUUCACGAUUUUUCAAAAUUGUUCUGACUUUAAUUAUUUUUACUCAAAAUUCAAAAAAUGUUUGUGAUUUAAAAAUUUGUUCGGGGUUUUUCAAAAUUGUUCUCUAUUUAAAAUUUUAUUCUCGAGAUUCGAAAUUUGUUUGUGCUUUAAAAAAUUGUUCAUGCUUCCAUAUUUGUUCAUGAUUUUUCACAAUAGUUCGCCAUUUUAAAAUUUUAUUCUCAAGAUUCAAAAAAUGUUUGUGCUUUAAAAAAUUGUUCAUGCUUUAUAUGUAUAAAAUUGUUCACGAUAUUUCGAAAUAGUUCUUCAAAUUCAAAAAAUGUUUUUUCUUCUAAUACAAAAAGAAAAGGAAAAAGGGAAGAAAAACCAACCAAAAAAAGAAAAUAAACAGAAAAGGAAAAAAGUAACAAGAAUAAAAAGAAACAAAACUGUGCCGGCCCAGUUGGGGCGCCCGCCCUGUGCGGCGCAGGAGUCCCUGCCGCAAUGAUCGGUAGGUUUGGGAGCAACUAGUUAGCGAGCGCUUCCUCGAAAACCUUCCGGCAAUCGCUCCCGCGCGCCGUCACUUGGAGCGUUCCCAGCCGCCACGACGUGUCGCCCUAUGAGCGUUUUCUUCGGAUUAUUGUUAUUUUUUCGCACGCGUUUUCGCCUUUUUUGAGUGGUUUGUUUUCGGAUUUUUUAUGUUUCGUUUUUUCACCGGUUUUUGGUAACUUUUGGGCGGAAAAAAUUCAUUUUUUUUCGAAAAAUACGUUUUAUGCGAAAGAUAGGUUUUCUGCUUUUUUGCGAGAGGCACGCUUCCGCUUCCAUGAGAGGCACGGUUUUACCUUCGCGAGAGGCACGGUCGUGCCUCUCGAAAAGGGAAAAACGCAUUUUUUUUCUUUUUUUUUGCGAGAGACACGGUUUUGCUUCCGUGAAAGGCACGAUUUUACCUUCGCGAGAGGCACGGUCGUGCCUCUCGAAAAGGGAAAAACACAUUUUUUUUUGCGAGAGGCACUGUUUUGCUUCCACGAAAGGCACGGUUUUGCCUUCACGAGAGGCACGUCCGUGCCUUUCGGGAAGGGAAACAAAACGUGUUUUCUGAUUUUUUGUGAGAGGUACGGUUUUGCUUUCGUGAAAGACACGAUUUUACCUUCGCGAGAGACACGCCCGUGCCUUUCAGAAAGGGAAAAAACGUGUUUUUUUUUGCGAGAGGAACGAUUUUGCUUUCACGAAAGGUACGAUUUUGCCUUCGCGAGAGGCACGCCCGUGCCUUUCAGAAAAGAAAAAAAACGCGUUUUUCGUUAUUUUUUCGCGAGAGGCAUGGGUUUGCUUCCGCAAAAGGUACGGUUUUGUCUUCGCGAGAGGCACGUCCGUGCCUGCCCCCGAAAGGGGAAAAACGCGUUUUGUGCUUUCUUUCUUUUUUUAGUGAAAGACACGGUUUUUCCGUCUGGUAUUUUUUCUUUUUUUUCGUGAAAAAAAGAGUUCGUCAAAAUCUAUCAAUAUGAGAUCCAGUUUUGAAGAUCUCGACGCGAGAAAGUCAACGGUGAAAACGGUUCGAGAUUUAGACGCACGGUUUAGGAGAUAAAAUGUUUAAAAAAUACGGUUCUAUAAAAAAAACUUUCAAAUUGCGUCAAAUGACAAUUUAUGAAGGUAAGAGUAAUUGUUAAAAGCUGUACUCGCUAAUUAGUGAUUCCGUAAAGGUCUAGUCGACCACGGCCGCAUCGCGUGGGCCGGUGCGGGAGGAACAGAGAAAGUGGGCCGGGCGGAGAAGACGGCCCCCAACCGCACCUUGUGCCGAAAGCCCGAGGGUAAUCGCCUGACCGAACGGCGCGCCCGCGUGCUUCUCCUCUGCCUCUCCAGCGCGCGAUCCAGCGCGCGAUCCAGCGCCGGCGACGACCGAUGGACCAGUUCCACGACAGGCAUCACGUGCGGCUGCGGAGCCGCUUGCUCCGCGCGUACCUCCACGCAGACGACGACGGGGAGCGCAUCUCCCUCAGCCGACGCCCGGCGCCGUGACUCGCUGAACACGGCGUGGGCGGUGCACAUCCACCAGCGCUGCGAUGGCCCGUGCCUGCUCCUCCACAGCGCCGCCUACGGCCGCUACCUCGCCACCACGUUCAAGCCGGCGCCGCUCGGCCACCACGGCUUCCGCACUGAUCAGCGCGACUACGACGACGAGCCGGACCUGAUGGCAGGUACAUGUGGAAUGUCGCCUGGGCGGACUUCGCGGACGUUGUCUUGCUCCGCAACGUCUCCGGCCGCCACCUCCGCGCCAACGGCA